AGCCAUUUAACCUAUUCAAAGCCAAAACAACCAUAUUAAGUGUGGAACCAAUGUACCCUCAUUGGCACCACAUUUUAUAUGAGCUAACUCCAAAAACCCAUCCUCAGUUCGGAUUGCAGGCUGCAACUCGUCUGCAUGAAGCCGGAAUCGCUAGUAAUCGCCGGUCAGCCAUACGGCGGGGAAUUC
RNAcentral lists this non-coding RNA (186 nucleotides) under Gossypium hirsutum (cotton). RNAcentral describes it as "Bacterial small subunit ribosomal RNA". It matches the Rfam family "Bacterial small subunit ribosomal RNA", at positions 1248 to 1369 of the family's 1533-position model. Lineage: Eukaryota; Viridiplantae; Streptophyta; Magnoliopsida; Malvales; Malvaceae. The record is from Rfam by way of RNAcentral.